GGGAUAUUAGAUUCCAACUCACCGACUUUCAAGCCGACCUUCAAACCGCGUCAACAUUUUAACCGCCUCAUUCGCCAAUACGCUUCUAUAAAUUUAACCCCACCUUCCUUCUUUUCCUUCAUUGCUUGCCCAAUUGUUUAAUCUGGUCUCUAAUAUGCGCUCUGUGUUUUGUUAGUUCUUCUCUUUUUUCUCCGUCUCAUAUGUGUAAUUUUUCUUUUCUGAUCAUCUGGUUUAGACUUUUGAUCGAUUGAUACGUCGCCAAGGUUGUUGAUUCAAUUGUCGAAUUCGUUCAAGAUGAUAAUAUUUUUUUCAAUUCGGAUCUUCUAUCAUCGAUUGCUUUAUUGAUAAUUUCUUGGUUAUUUCAAGUAUACAUCUAUAUUUUAAUGUCCGACUUUUCGAUUAUCGGUAGAUUUGUUGCUACUGUUUGCUCGGUUUCAUAGGUGAUCGAAUUGUUCUUCGUGGCGUUAAUCAUCCUGGGGUUUUAAGAGAAGAAAGGUACCGUUACCGAUAAAUUUGUUUUCCUGCUUUGGAUUUAAAAGUUUUUAAGACACUUUCGUGGUUAAUUCAAGAAAAGCUAGAUUUUGAUGUCCGAUUCUUGAUUAUUGGUAGAUUUAUUUCUACUCUUAUUAUAAAUUCCAAGAAAUUUACUGAUACUUUCGCGGUUGGUUCAAGAAUUGCAAUAUUUAAGUGUUCAAUUCUUCUAUCAUCGAUAGACACUGUUCUAGGAAUUUCCUCUGAAUUAUAGUUGAUCCAGUAGAAUCUUGGUGGUGUUACAGUCAGUGCAUUUUAAGAGAAAGGUCCAUGCUUUUUUAGGUUUCGAAUGUUUGCAAUGGAUUCGAGAUUGAUUUUUGGUUCAAGAAACUCUUGUUUGUUUCCUUUCACUUCGGUUAUUUAACAAACGUGAUAUUGAUGGUGCAAGCUUCAGUCUUUAUAUUGAUUUAAUCAAGGUGUCCUAUCUGUUUUUUUCCUUGCAAUUUCAUAUAAAUGGAUUGGGAAGGUAGGUUGUGAUGGACAAAUAGAUUAAUAAUUCUUCUUUCUGGUGUUUUGUGGCUUUGCAGUUUGGAAUUCAAUUAUUGAUCUCUGACCGUUAUAUGCCAGAGGUUAGAACGUCAGGCUGGCAAUAAAAUAAUUUCUUUGGAGAUUCUAUUUUCUAUCAACAAUCGGACAAUAAUUUGAUAUCAUCUUUAGGAAGUUUUCCAUCCUUUUUAACCUCAUCUUUAUUGUUCUUCAAAAAGUUGCUUCUUAUUCAAGCUUAAUCUUUCGUGGCGGCAAAUAAAAUGAUUUUGAUUUUGCAAUUAGGAACAUGUAAAAAGUUUUUUUGUUUGUUUUUCUUGAUGCAAGUAAUUUAAGUUUCUCCGGAAUGCUACAUUUAGUAACUUGGAAUCUGUUGGAUUUGAGUUGUGUCGUCAUAGGAAAUUUAUCUGUUAUAGAUGAUUGAGAAGCAUCUCAACGGCGUUAAUCAUUUGUCGACUUAAAGAAGGCAUAAGGUACAUGGUUUUUGUCUGUCUAUUUUGUAGUGAAUUGAAGUUGAUUUUCUGAUUCUAGAAACUUGUUUGUUACCUUUAGUAUGUUUCUGUAGUGACGUUAAACGUUCUGAUUUUGAUAGUUAAAGCAUCAAAUUCCAUGCUGAUUUUCCUUAGAACAUCAUAUCUACUUUUUUUGUUUCCAGAAUCUUGAUAAACAGAUAUAUGAUUUUUCUAGUUAGGACGUGAUAGGUGUAGUAUAUCCUUUGCUAGUGUUUUACUACUUUGCUGUCUGGAAUUCAAUUAUUGAUUUCUGGGAGGUUAAAUUGAACAUUUGACUAUUGAUAAAUUUUCUAUCUCAUUAGCCUCUUGUUUCUAUUGUUCUUGAAGAUGUUGUUAUAUUGAUGAUUUUGUUGUUUUUCAAGAACAAGUAUACCCUGAUGUUAGAUUUGUUCAUGAUCGAAUAGUUCUUUGUGGGCUGUGGCAUUACUCAUCCUGUGAUCUUAAGGAGGCGAAAGGUACCACUAUCGAUAAAUCUGUUUUUUAUGUUUGGAUUCAGUAGCUUUUAAAAAGCUAUGUUUUGUUGUUCGAUUUAGGAUUGGUACUUUAGAGUUUAAUUCAAGAAUUGUAAUUUUUUGAUGUCCGACUUAGUGGAUAUGCUGUUUGGUGGCGUUGAUCAUUCAGCAAGUUUAGAGAGAAAGAUUCUUGCUAUUUUGGUUCGUGGAUUGAAGUUUGAUUUUCGGUCCAAGAAACUCUUGUUUUCUUUAAUUUGUUUUUCUUGUUUUGUGAUUUAAUGGUGCUAAGAUUAGAGUAUACACUUAUUCUCUCAGGAUCUCCUAUUCGUAUUAUUUUUUUUCCAAUUUCAUAUAAAUUGAUAUCUUAUUUGGGAAGCUUGGCCAUGAUAGAUGUAAUAGAUCAUUGGUAUACUUUUCUGGUGUUUUUUUUGGCUUUGCAGUCUGGAAUUCAAUUAUGUUGAUGUAUGCUGGAGUUAGAACAAUCGAAUACUAAGAAAUACUUUUCUUUGGAGCUUUGUUUUCUCAUAACAUUCGAAUGAUGAUUAGUCGUUGGAACCCGAGUGUCAGUUUUGUAAGUUACCCGUCCUUUUAGAUUGUUUUUCAAGAAGUUGUUUCUUAUUUAGGCUUAUUCUUUCGUUGCAGCAAUGAGAAGAUUUUCUGGGACCGCGCAUUUGGGUACAUGAAAGGGCUAUUUGUUUAUUUUUGUUUUGAUGCAAGAAAUUAAGUUGUUCCUCCGUAAUGCUAUGUCUAGUGACUUGGAUUAAGUAGGGGCAUUUGAGGCAUUUGUAGUUUAGUAAGUUACAAAUCUUAUGGGUAAGAAGGUGAAAUUCCCUAGGUAACAUUUUUUUUUUUGCUGUUUUAGGAAAUUUAUUUGCUUCAUAGAUGAUCGAGUAGCUUCUUUGAGGCAUUUCAUUUGGUGUUUUAUGAAGGUGGAAAGGUACAUGCUUUCUUAGCUGUGCAGUUUCAUAGUUUGAAAUUCAAUUAUUGAUUUUAUUGAUUUCUUGCUUGGAGGUUUGAGCGAGCACCGACUAUCAAUAAAUCAUCGCUUCCUAGUGGCCUCCUUGUUUUGAUUGUUCUCUUGGAUGUUGCUUUAUUCAUGCUUCGUCGUUUUUUUAGGAACCACUAUAUCUUGAUGGUAGAUUUGUUGAUACUGUGUGGUCCUUUAAAAAGAUGAUCAAAUAGUUUUUUGUGGUAUUUAUCAUUCGGUGAUUUUAAAGUGUAGAAAGGUACCAACAUUGUUAAAUAUGUAUUGCAUGUUAAGAUUCAAGAUUGAUUUUCAAUGAUUUUCAAUCCAAGAAACUGUUUGUUUCUUUUCUCUUCGGAUAUUUAACAAAUGCGAUUUUUAUGGUGCAAGCUUCAGAUUCUAGAUUGAUUCAGUUAAGGUUUCCAAUCUGUUUUAUCCUUGCAAUAUCAUAUGAGUGUAUAGGUUAUUUGGGAAGGUAGGUCAUGAUAGACGUGAUCAAUAAAUGUUCUUUUUGGUAUUUCGUGGCUUUGUAGUUUAGUAUUUAAUUACUGAUCUUUGUCUGUUAUAUGCUGGAGGUUAAAACGCCUGGCUGCUGAUAAAUCUAUUUCUUUGGAGAUUUUAUUUUCUAUUGACAUUUAGACAAUGAUUAGUCUUUGGAACUUGGAUGUCGUUUUUAGGAAGUUUUCCAUCCUUUUAGCCUCUUGUAUCUCUAAUGCUCUUCAAAAAGUCGCUUCUUAUUCAGCUUUAUUCUGUCGUGGCAACAACUAUAUUGGUUUUCGGAUUUUUAGUGGCGUUAAGCGUUUGGAUUUUAAUAGUUCAAGUAUUAAAUACAUGCUAAUUUUCUCGAAACAUCUUAUCUACUUUUUUUUGUUUCCAGAAUCUUGAUAAACAUAUCUGAUUUUUCAAAUUAGGACGUGAUAGAUGUAAUAAUCGUGACUUUGCAGUUUGGAAGUCAGGAAUUCAUUUAUUGAUUUUUUGCUCGGACUGUUUAUAAAUUUCCCAUUUUGAUAGCCUCCUUGUUCCUAUUCUUCAUGAUGUUGCUAUAUUGAUGAUAUUGUUAUUUCUAGGACAACUAUACCUUGUUGGUAGACUUUUAGAUGAUCGAAUAGUUCUUCGUGGCAUUAAUCAUCCUGUUAUUUUAAGGAGGCGAAGGUACCAGUAUCAUAAAUCUUUCUAUCCAUGUUUUGAUACGGUAGCUUUUAAAAAGCUAUGUUCUGUUGUUCGAUUUAGGAUUGGUAAGAUUUAUUGAUACUUUCGAAGUUAAUUCAAGAAUUGCAAUAUUUGAUUCUCGAUGCUUUGAGGAAAUUCAUCUGUUUUGUAGAUGAUGAAGUAGCUUCUUGGUGGUGUUAUUCAUUUAGGAUUGGUGUUGUUCGAAAUACCAACAUCGGUAAAUCUUUUUUGUCCAUGUUUGGAAUUAGCUGCUUUUGAAAAGUUAUGUUUUGUUGUUCGGUUCAGGACUGGUAAGAUUUAAUGAUACGGUCCAGGUUAAUUCAAGAAUUUAAUAUUUUAAUGUUCGAUACUUCGAAGAAUUCCAUCAUUUUUACAGGUGAUGGAGUAGUUUCUUAGUGGCGUUGAUCUUUCAACAAUUAUAAAGCGGAAGGUUUUUGCUAUUUUAAGGUGCUAAACGUACUAGUAUCGAUAAAUCUGUUUUUCCAUGUUUUGAAUUAGUAGCUUUUGAAAAGCUAUGUUUUGUUGUUCGAUUCAGGAUUGGUAAGAUUUAUUGAUAUACUUUUAAGAUUAAUUCGAGUUUUGCAAUAUUUUGGUGUUCGAUACUUCGAUUAUUUGUUGAUAUGAUUAUCCUGUGAUUUCAUAUAGAUGAUGGAGUAGUUUCUUAGUGGCCUUGAUCAUUCAAUGAUUUUAAAAGGGAAGGUUCUUGCUAUGUAGCUAUUUUAAGGAAGUGAAACGUAUCAAUAUCGAUGAAUCUUUUUUUCCAUGUUUGGAUCUAGUAGCUUUUUAAAAGCUAUGUUUUGUUGUUCGAUUCAGGAUUGCAAGAUUUAUUGAUACUUUUGAGGUUAAUUAGGAAUUGCAGCUGAUGCUUUGAUUAUUAGUUGAUAUGUUUAUCUUGUGAUAUGAAUUUUAUAUAAUUUUAUAUAGAUGAUGGAGUAGCUUCUUGGUGGCGUUGAUCAUUCAGUGAUUUUAAAGUGAAAGGUUCUUGUUAUUAUUAGGAGGCGAAAUACCAGCAUCGACAAGUUUUUUUUUACCAUGAUUGGAAUUAGCUGCUUUGAAAAGCUAUGUUUUGUUGUUCGAUUCAGGACUGUAAGGUUUAUUGAUACUUUCGAGGUUAAUUCAAGAAUUGCAAUAUUUUGAUGGCUAAUAUUUCAAUUAUUAGUUGAUAUUUUGAUCUUGUGAAUAAAUUUCAUAUAAAUUCAUAUAGAUGGAGUAGCUUCUUGGUGGCAUUGAUCAUUUAUUGAUUUUAAAGAGAGAGGUUCUUGCUAUUUUUUGUUGUCAAUUAAUUUUUGUCCAAGAACUCUCUUUGCUUUUUUUAGAUUUUUUUCCUUGUUUGCGAUGUAGUCUGUGCUAAGCCUAUAGUUUACUUGAUUUUUUGAGUGUGUUAUUUGGGAAGCUAUGACGUGAUAGAUCUACUAAUUCAUUGGUGUUUGCAGUCUGGAAUUCAAUUAUGCGGUUGAGAUUAGAAUGACUGACUAUUACAAAGAUAUUUCUUUAGAGAUUUGUGUUCUCUAAACAUUCAGAUUAGAAUUAGUCCUUGGCACCUAGAUAUCAGUUUUAAAAACUAACUAUCCUUUUUAGACUCCUAUCUUUUUAUUGUAUUUCAAGAAGUUGCUUCUUAUUCAGGCUUCUUUCGUGACGAUAAUGAGAAGCUUUUUUGGGAUCGCGCAUUUUCGUACAUGAAUAGGCUUUUUGUUAAUUUUUUUUGUGGUGCGAAUAAUUAAGUUCCUCCGUAAUGUUAUGUCUAGUGACUCUGAUUAUCUUAUGGGUAAGAAGGCGAAAUCCCUGUGGUAACAUUUGUUUUUAUUUUUGCUUGCUGUUCUAUGAAAUUUAUCUACUUCAUAGAUGAUCGAGUAGCUACUUGAGGCAUUUCAUUUGGUGAUUUAUGAAAGUGGAAAGGUACAUGCUAUAUUCAUAAUAUCGUUAUUUCUGGAACAACUAUAUCUUAAUGUUAGAUUUGUGGAUAAUCGAAUAGUUCCUCAUGGCAUUAAUAAUCUUGUGAUAUUGAAGCUGAGGGAGGCAAAAGGUAUUUGUAUCAAUAAAAUUUCUUCGAUUCAGGAUUAAUAAUAUUUAUAGAUAUGGUCGAGGUUAAUUGAAGAAUUUUAAAAUUUAAUUAUUUUUAUAGGUGAUGGAGUAGUUUCUUGGUGGUGUUGAUCAUUCAACGAUUACAAAGCGAAAGGUUUGUGCUAUUUUAAGGUGCGAAACGUACCAGUAUCGAUAAAUCUGUUUUUCCAUGUUUGGAAUCAGUUGCUUAUGAAAAGCUAUGUUUUGUUGUUCGAUUCAAUAUUGGCAAGAUUUAUUGAUACUUUCUAGGUUAAUUCAAGAUUUGCAAUAUUUUGAUGUCCGAUACUUCGAUUAUUAGUGGAUGAGUUGAUCCUCUGAUAUUAAUUUCAUAUAAUUUCAUAUACAUGAUAGUGUAGCUUCUUAGUGGCCUUGUUCAUUCAACGAUUUUAAAGGGAAAGAUUCUUGCUAUUUUAAGGAGGUGAAAGGUAUCAAUAUCGGUUAGUCUUUUUCUCCAUGUUUGGAAUUAGUAGCUUUUUAAAAGCUAUGUUUUGUUGUUCUAUUCAGGUUAGUAAGAUUUAUUGAUACUUUCGAGGUUAAUUCGUGAAUUGCAAUUUUUUGAUGGUCGAUGCUCUGAAUAUUAAUUGAUAUGUAUUUUUGUGGUAUGAAUUUCAUAUAGAUGAUGGAGUAGCUUCUUGGUGGCGUUGAUCAUUCAGUGAUUUUAAAGUGAAAGGUUCUUGUUAUUUUGGUUUGUGAAUCAAUUUUUCUUUAGAGAUUUGUGUUCUCUUAACAUUUAGAUUAGGAUUAAGCCUUGGAACCUAGAUAUCAGUUUUAUAAAUUAACCAUCCUCUUUACUCUCUUAUCUUUUUAUUGUAUUUAAAAAGUUGCUUCUUAUUCAGGCUUAUUCUUUCGUGAUGGUAACGAGAGGAUUUUUGGGGACCGUGUAUUUGGGUACAUGUAAGGGCUUUUUGCUUAAUUUUUUAUGAAGCAAGUAAUUAAGUUGUCCCUCUUUAAUGCCAUGUCUAAGCAAGGGCAUUUGUGGUUUAGUAAGUUACAUAUCUUAUGGGUAAGAAGGCGAAAUCCUUGUGGUAGGAAAUUUAUUUGCUUUAUAGAUGAUCAAGUAGCUUCAUUGAGGCGUUUCAUCUAGUGAUUUAUGUAAGUGGAAAGGUACAUGCUAUAUUGAUGAUAUCGUUUUUAUUUCUAGAACAACUAGACCUUAAUGGUAGAUUUGUAGAUCAUCGAAUAGUUCCUCGUGGCAGUAAUUAUGCUGUGAUUUUAUGGAAGCUGAAGGAGGCAAAAGGUACUUGUAUCAAUAAACCGUCUUUCCAUGUUUGGAUUCACUUGCUUUUAAAAAGCUAAGUUUUGUUGUUCAAUUUUGUAUUGAUAAGAUUUAUUGAUAUUUUCGAGGUUAAUUCAAGAAUUUAAAAAUUUAAUGUUCUAUAAUUUGAAAAAUUUAAUCUGUUUUAUUGAUUAUGCUAUAGUUUGUUGGAGGCGUUGAUCAUUCAUUGAUUUUAAAGACAAAGGUUCGUGCUAUUUUAAGGUGCGGAUGUAUCAACAUCAAUAAAUUUGUUUUUCCAUGUUUGGAAUCAGUAGCUUUUGAAAAGCUAUUUUGUUUGAUUUAGGAUUGGCAAGACUUACUGAUACUUUCGAGUUUAAUUCAAAGAAUUGCAAUAAUUUUAAUUCCGAUACUUCUAUUAUUAGUGGAUAUGUUGAUCCUAUGAUAUGAAUUUCUUGUAAUUUUCAAAUAGAUGAUGGAGUAGCUUCUUAGAGUUGUUGAUCAUUCAGCGAUUUUAAAGGGAAAGGUUCUUGCUAUUUUAAGGAGGUGAAAGGUAUCAGUAUCGACAAAUCUUUUUUUCCAUGUUUGGAAUUGAUUGUUAAGUGGAUAUGUUGAUUUUGUGAUAUGAAUUUCAUGCUCCCUCCAAUUCAGCACUAGUGUUCUAUUUCUAUAUUGCUACUUCUGUGCUGGAAUUUAUGAGGGUUAUGUUGCUUCAUCUAUUCUGGUUGGUAGAACUGAUCAUUGAUUAGUGUUAUGGUGUCCACCUAUGAUUGCGUUUAUACAAAACAACUGAUGACUAGCUGUUUAUCAGUAGUUAAGUAUUGGGGAAGUCUUCCCUCUCUAGCCAAUUUUGACUAGUUCAUAUGUGGUAUAGGGUAAUCAAUCCCUCCCAUUCUUUUUAGAACUUGAAUUUUGCAAGCUUGUAAUGUUAUGAAAUUUACAUUAAAGACUUAGGAUCCAAAUUUUGAAAUGCACAUUUAACUGCCAACACUAAUUGAGUUAAAACUAUAAGUGGCCUUUUUGUGUUGCAAGGCUUGUAUUUCCCUAAGAAAUCCCAAGUCCAAUACAUUCAUAUCCAAUUGGCAGCAUCUUUAUGGAAAUCGAACCCAUCUAUUGUGGCAGCUUCUUUGAACAAUCUAUCGUUGUCCAAGAUAUGCAGUUUAGCAUUAUCUUGUUGAAUAUAUAUUGUUUUUGAUGUACCAAUUGGCCAUUUUUCUCUUAUUGCUGGUAGAACUUGGUCUAUUAACAUUGUCCUUGUUUGAUCCUUUGUGAUUGAUUGAAUAGGCUUGGUUUCCAACUCUCCCCUCCUUCUAUUCUUGGAGUUCCUUUGGGUUGGAACUUUAAGCAUAAUCUUUGGUAUAUAUUGUUUGAUUGUAUUUCUUGAUUGGGUUCAGUUUUGGUUAAGUAGAAUUGUUUUUCAUCUAUGUGUACAAUGUUGGACUUGUCUUUGAACUUAAUUGUUGCCGACUCUACAUUGAAUCUAGUAGAUGAUAGAAAAAAGGAUAACUUGGUUAACUUGUUGUCGUUGAAUGUGGGUUUAAUUGCAUUUGUGUGCUUGCGAAUUAAAUUUCUCAUCAUCGAAAGCGAUAAUGGUCUUGGAUGGCAGCCCCUUCUUUUUGUUAUUCAUGUUAAUAACAACACCAUUUGGUUUUUUUUUUUUUUAAUUUCUCCAAGUAGAGGUAUUAAUUUCCUUCCUUUUUUCAAGAUAGAUUGGAAGUUAAUAACCUUAUGGUUUAUUUUGUAGGUGCUUUGCAUUGCUGCAAUGCUGAUACAACUCUUACUGAGUAAAUAGUUGCAUUUUCAAUUACGCCAAUUUUUUUAAAAAAAAUAAUAAAGAUGAUGUGAUGUCGGUUGGACACAUGGAAUAACGGUCAGAGUGCUAAUAGAUUUACAUUGUUAAUUGAUUUUUUGUUGGAAAUUCUUAUCUUGUUUAAUUUAUUUUCUGAUACAUGUGUGAAUUGGUUUGCAUCCUACAAGUGAGGCUAUGAGCUCAUGUGUCCUCGUGUUUGGUUUUUAAUGCAGCCCUUUCACAUGAAAAUCGUUGCUAUGGGGACUUUUUCAUGUUUUAAGUUUGUUUUUUUUUUUUAGUGAUUCUCCUUAUAACUUCUUGUUUGUUGGUGUAUUGGAUUCUUCAAGAAUUGCAAUUUUGUAGAGAAUUUCAGCGUAUCUUUAUGUGGAAAUCAAAACAAAAUUAUAAUGAGGACAGUCAAAUUUAGAUGUGAUACUGAACAACUUAUGCUACAAGUAAUAUUAAUAGCACUAUAAAUAUACUUCUAUAAGAAGAAUAUAUAUAUAUAUAUAUAUAUAUAUAUAUAUAUAUAUAUAUAUAUAUAUAUUUUGUAGUAGCUCACUCUUAUACUUCUAUAAGAUUUUUUUUAUGUUUGGAGGCGAAUGAGAUGAAAGGCUUUAAGUUUUUUUCUUUUUGGAGAUUAGUAAAUUAGUUGUUGUUAUGUGUUUUUUUUUUUGUAGACUUUAGCAUGGAUUGUGUUAUAGCUUUAUUUCAUUGUUUUUUAUUCUAUAUUUAGAAGAGAAUAGGAGUCAAAACCACUUUGGCUUUUCGUGGAAGUAUACAAAAUGUUUAACUCAGUGCCUUUUGCAUUAAGCAAUCCUAAUAAAACUAUUAUGCACACCUUUUAUUGAUUUUCUUUUUCAACAAUUGUCAUUGAUAUUUAGAUUUAUAUUGUGAUGCAAUUUAACUUGUAGGAAAUGUGAAGCACAAUGAUCUUGAUUGCUUUCGUACUAUGUUGAAAUAAGAAAAGGUAUUGGUGUGCUUGAUUUUUUCAAGAUAGAUUGGAAGUUGCAAUUCUUGCGGUUUGUUUUGUAGGGGAUUUGCACUGUCCAUGCUGGUUCAAGUCAUAGCGAGUAUGUUUGCAUUUUUGAUUAUGCCAUGUUAUUUUUUUAUCAUAAUAAUAUAGAUGAAUGUGAUCUCGGCUGGAGGCACGAAGAGAUAUUGGAGUAAUGGUUAUGGUGCUGACAGAGUCACAUUAGUAAUUGAACUUUUGUUGAUUUGAGGGGCUUACAACUUGCAUUUUUUAAUAUUUCAGUUUUAAGAAUUAGUUUGUGUAAUUAUGCUUCGUUUUUGGCUAAUUGUUGCCUUUUCUUGUAAAGAGGUGGAAGAUUUUUUCAUCUUUGGAAUGUUUCAGUUUUAAGUAUGGAAGGUCUGGAGUUUAUUUUCUGUAAAUUAGUUGAUUUUCUAGAUGUAUCUUGAAUGGUGAAAUAUAUGCUUUUCCUUUACUUUUGUUUCCUCUGUUUUUAUUAUCCAGCAAAGAUUAGAGGUGUAAUUCCUUUGAGAAGGUAUACAAACAAGCUAAACGUGGGUUAUCUGCAUUGAGCAAUCCCUGACCAAGCGUCAAGUCAUUGUGGUUCUUUCUCAAUUGAUAUUUGCUGUUGUGAUGCACUUUGACUUGUAGAAAAUAUUUCGAUGCGGUCUUGAAUGGUUUGAUCGUUUGCUAUAAUUAUUAUCAUGUUUACUGUGUUUUCAUAAGGAGAAAAAGUUGGUUGAUAUUGAAGUAAUGGUUUGGGUGCCGACAGAUUUACAUUCUAGAUUAGAUUAUUACUCAUGUGCACUACAAUUAAUAUCCUUUUAUUUUCUUUCUGUUCAGAGAUAUAUUGGUUGACAACUUAUGCUCGUGGGUUUACAUUUUUUAUGAUUUUUUAGAUUUAAAUUUGUUUUAUAGUUUUUUCUUCUCAUUUCUUGAUUAUUUUGUGUUUCAUAGACGAUUUUCAAAUGCUAUUUGUAUUGAUAUUGCUAUUCAACAUUUGGCAUUGAUAUUUGCUCUUUGAUGCAAUUCGAUUUACAGGAUUAUUUUAUCGCACUUUUUUGAAUGGCUUCUUGCUGUUUGUUAUGGAAGGAGGUACUAUUUUCCUUCAACAAAAAUUGAAGCCAUCACAUCUUCACUAGCCAGAUCCUAUUUUCACAAAAUCCUAUUGAUUUAUCAUGGCUGAACGCAUGGGGACAUAUUGUCUUUUUGGUGACAUAUUGUCUUUUAAAAAUUAGCCCAUGUUUCUUGGCGUUUGCAGUUAUGGACAUUGUUCGUACAUGUGCUAGACAUGGAGAUAUUAGAAGAAUAGUUAAGGUGCUCAAAGUUUUACUUUCUCGAUGAGCUUCUGGUCUCGUGCACUCCCAUGUAUUAAUCAAUGAAGGUUGAUAUUGUUAAAGAGAUAUAAAUGAUUCUUAUAGUGUAUUGUCUUUUCUUUCAGAGA
Amaranthus tricolor (Joseph's coat) is the source of this 11589-nucleotide long non-coding RNA. RefSeq lists it as uncharacterized. The record is from RefSeq and is a predicted model, not a curated record. NCBI's taxonomy places the organism in Eukaryota, Viridiplantae, Streptophyta, Magnoliopsida, Caryophyllales, Amaranthaceae. The transcript is spliced from 2 exons.